GCCCGGGUGGCGGAAUAGGCAGACGCGCUAGCUUGAGGGGCUAGUGGGAAAUUUUCCCGUGCUGGUUCGACUCCAGUCCCGGGCA
RNAcentral lists this transfer RNA (85 nucleotides) under Sedimentisphaerales bacterium. RNAcentral describes it as "tRNA-Leu". It matches the Rfam family "tRNA". From Rfam's summary of the family: Transfer RNA (tRNA) molecules are approximately 80 nucleotides in length. The record is from RNAcentral. RNAcentral also lists the same sequence under 2 other names. Lineage: Bacteria; Pseudomonadati; Planctomycetota; Phycisphaerae; Sedimentisphaerales.